GCAAACUUGGUCAUUUAGAGGAAGUAAAAGUCGUAACAAGGUAACCGUAGGUGAACCUGCGGUUGGAUCAUUAAAAAGUUGGUUGCUUAAAAAGCACCAUCACAUCUUGUGAACUUACGAUUGUUAUUGGCGGUUCAAUGCGAUUAAACUGCUUUAGCAGGCCGCCAACAAACGUCAAACAAACUUUUGAUAGUUGUCUUACUUCCAUUUUUGGAAACAAAAAUUGAAAACAACUUUUGGCAACGGAUCUCUUGGCUCUCGCAUCGAUGAAGAACGCAGC
This 280-nucleotide unclassified non-coding RNA is filed under the name uncultured fungus. RNAcentral's name for it is "partial contains small subunit ribosomal RNA, internal transcribed spacer 1, and 5.8S ribosomal RNA". The stretch from base 1 to 73 matches the Rfam family "Eukaryotic small subunit ribosomal RNA", at positions 1759 to 1831 of the family's 1831-position model. Lineage: Eukaryota; Fungi. The record is from RNAcentral.